This 575-nucleotide long non-coding RNA is filed under the name Androctonus crassicauda. Lineage: Eukaryota; Metazoa; Arthropoda; Arachnida; Scorpiones; Buthidae. The record is from RNAcentral.
UUUGUCAGUAGCUUCUGUCCAUGAAUCCUCUAACUCUUGAUGCAUAUAGGAUAUUGAAGGCUCUCCAAAGUCCUUCAAUUCUUUUUCUUAUUAAAUAUUAUACUGCCUUCCAUCCUACUAGAUAUUAUGGAGCGAGACAUUUCAGUGUCCUUCAUAGUUUGCCCAUUCUUGUGGUGAAGUCUUCUUUUCUUUUUUAUGUUGUUUUUCUGCUGGAAGUAACUAAAUGUGCUGAUAUUCCAGCAUUCACCAUAAGUUGUCUAUGAUUAAUAGUCAGCUAUGAGGUAAAGAAUUGGUUCAACAAGCCCAAGCUAAAUCCUUCAUGAAAAAAUCUGGAGAUAUGGAACUUAGAACUGAACCCAAGUUCUCAAAAAUAAAAUGCAACACAGUUUCUUGUAAUUGAUUUAUUUUUCAUUGUGAAUUGCUGGAAAGAGGUUUGGAUGGAAAUUCAAAUCCCUUCCAGCAAUUCACAAUAUCACCUGAUACUUAAAUCUAUCUACUUCAAUGGAUGGAAUUAAAUAGUGUUUGAAGGCAAGGCAAUUUAUAUAUAUUUGAGUUUCAAAUUACUCUUAGUUUAC